This 377-nucleotide ribosomal RNA is filed under the name uncultured bacterium. Its description in RNAcentral is "bacterial SSU rRNA". It matches the Rfam family "Bacterial small subunit ribosomal RNA", at positions 521 to 896 of the family's 1533-position model. The record is from RNAcentral.
UAAUACGUAGGGGGCAAGCGUUGUCCGGAAUUAUUGGGCGUAAAGCGCGCGCAGGCGGUCUCUUAAGUCUGAUGUGAAAGCCCACGGCUCAACCGUGGAGGGUCAUUGGAAACUGGGGGACUUGAGUAUAGGAGAGGAAAGUGGAAUUCCACGUGUAGCGGUGAAAUGCGUAGAUAUGUGGAGGAACACCAGUGGCGAAGGCGACUUUCUGGCCUACAACUGACGCUGAGGCGCGAAAGCGUGGGGAGCAAACAGGAUUAGAUACCCUGGUAGUCCACGCCGUAAACGAUGAGUGCUAGGUGUUAGGGGUUUCGAUACCCUUAGUGCCGCAGUUAACACAUUAAGCACUCCGCCUGGGGAGUACGGUCGCAAGACUG